GAGGAAGACGCAGUGAACUGAAACAUCUAAGUAGCUGCAGGAAGAGAAAGCAAAAGCGAUUGCCUUAGUAGCGGCGAGCGAAACGGCAGGAGGGCAAACCGAAGAGUUUACUCUUCGGGGUUGUAGGACUGCAAUGUGGACUUAAAGAUUAUAGAAGAACUACCUGGGAAGGUAGGCCAAAGAGAGUAAUAGCCUCGUAUUCGAAAUAGUCUUUAUACCUAGCAGUAUCCUGAGUACGGCGAGACACGUGGAAUCUCGUCGGAAUCUGGGAGGACCAUCUCCCAACCCUAAAUACUCUCUAGUGACCGAUAGUGAACCAGUACCGUGAGGGAAAGGUGAAAAGCACCCCGGGAGGGGAGUGAAAUAGAACCUGAAACCGUGUGCCUACAACAAGUUCGAGCCCGUUAAUGGGUGAGAGCGUGCCUUUUGUAGAAUGAACCGGCGAGUUACGAUAUGAUGCGAGGUUAAGUUGAAGAGACGGAGCCGUAGGGAAACCGAGUCUGAAUAGGGCGCUUUAGUAUUAUGUCGUAGACCCGAAACCAUGUGACCUACCCAUGAGCAGGUUGAAGGUGCGGUAAAACGCACUGGAGGACCGAACCAGGGCACGUUGAAAAGUGCUUGGAUGACUUGUGGGUAGCGGAGAAAUUCCAAACGAACUUGGAGAUAGCUGGUUCUCUCCGAAAUAGCUUUAGGGCUAGCGUCGACAUUAAGAUUCUUGGAGGUAGAGCACUGUUUGGGUGAGGGGUCCAUCCCGGAUUACCAAUCUCAGAUAAACUCCGAAUGCCAAUGAAUUAUGGUCGGCAGUCAGACUGCGAGUGCUAAGAUCCGUAGUCGAAAGGGAAACAGCCCAGACCACCAGCUAAGGUCCCAAAAUAAUUGUUAAGUGGAAAAGGAUGUGGGGUUGCACAGACAACUAGGAUGUUAGCUUAGAAGCAGCUAUUCAUUCAAAGAGUGCGUAAUAGCUCACUAGUCGAGUGACCCUGCGCCGAAAAUGUACCGGGGCUAAAACAAUUUACCGAAGCUGUGGAUACCUUUAUAGGUAUGGUAGGAGAGCGUUCUAUGUGUGAAGAAGGUGUACCGUGAGGAGUGCUGGAACGCAUAGAAGUGAGAAUGCCGGUAUGAGUAGCGAAAGACAGGUGAGAAUCCUGUCCACCGUAAGACUAAGGUUUCCAGGGGAAGGCUCGUCCGCCCUGGGUUAGUCGGGACCUAAGGAGAGACCGAAAGGUGUAUCCGAUGGACAACAGGUUGAUAUUCCUGUACUAGAGUAUGUAGUGAUGGAGGGACGCAGUAGGCUAACUAAAGCAGACGAUUGGAAGUGUCUGUCUAAGCAGUGAGGUGUGAAUUGAGUUAAAUGCUUAGUUCUAUAACAUUGAGCUGUGAUGGGGAGCGAAGUUUAGUAGCGAAGUUAGUGACGUCACACUGCCAAGAAAAGCUUCUAGCGUUUAAACAUACUCUACCCGUACCGCAAACCGACACAGGUAGUCGAGGCGAGUAGCCUCAGGUGAGCGAGAGAACUCUCGUUAAGGAACUCGGCAAAAUGACCCCGUAACUUCGGGAGAAGGGGUGCUGGCUUAAAGUCAGCCGCAGUGAAUAGGCCCAAGCAACUGUUUAUCAAAAACACAGCUCUCUGCUAAAUCGUAAGAUGAUGUAUAGGGGGUGACGCCUGCCCGGUGCUGGAAGGUUAAGAGGAGUGCUUAGCGUAAGCGAAGGUAUGAAUUGAAGCCCCAGUAAACGGCGGCCGUAACUAUAACGGUCCUAAGGUAGCGAAAUUCCUUGUCGGGUAAGUUCCGACCCGCACGAAAGGCGUAAUGAUUUGGGCACUGUCUCAACGAGAGACUCGGUGAAAUUUUAGUACCUGUGAAGAUGCAGGUUACCCGCGACAGGACGGAAAGACCCCAUGGAGCUUUACUGCAGUUUGAUAUUGAGUGUCUGUACCACAUGUACAGGAUAGGUAGGAGUCUAUGAGAUCGGGACGCCAGUUUCGAAGGAGACGAUGUUGGGAUACUACCCUUGUGUUAUGGCCACUCUAACCCGGAUAGGUGAUCCCUAUCGGAGACAGUGUCUGACGGGCAGUUUGACUGGGGCGGUCGCCUCCUAAAAGGUAACGGAGGCGCCCAAAGGUUCCCUCAGAAUGGUUGGAAAUCAUUCGCAGAGUGUAAAGGUAUAAGGGAGCUUGACUGCGAGAGCUACAACUCGAGCAGGGACGAAAGUCGGGCUUAGUGAUCCGGUGGUUCCG
Molecule: ribosomal RNA, 2236 nt
Filed under: human metagenome
Description: bacterial LSU rRNA
Rfam family: Bacterial large subunit ribosomal RNA
Source: RNAcentral